AGCGAACGCUGGCGGCAGGCCUAACACAUGCAAGUCGAACGAACCUUUCGGGGUUAGUGGCGGACGGGUGAGUAACACGUGGGAACGUGCCUUUAGGUGCGGAAUAACUCAGGGAAACUUGUGCUAAUACCGAAUGUGCCCUUCGGGGGAAAGAUUAAUCGCCUUUAGAGCGGCCCGCGUCUGAUUAGCUAGUUGGUUGAGGUAAUGGCUCACCAAGGCGACGAUCAGUAGCUGGUCUGAGAGGAUGAGCAGCCACAUUGGGACUGAGACACGGCCCAAACUCCUACGGGAGGCAGCAGUGGGGAAUCUUGCGCAAUGGGCGAAAGCCUGACGCAGCCAUGCCGCGUGAAUGAUGAAGGUCUUAGGAUUGUAAAAUUCUUUCACCGGGGACGAUAAUGACGGUACCCGGAGAAGAAGCCCCGGCUAACUUCGUG
RNAcentral lists this ribosomal RNA (434 nucleotides) under uncultured bacterium. RNAcentral describes it as "partial 16S ribosomal RNA". It matches the Rfam family "Bacterial small subunit ribosomal RNA", at positions 29 to 507 of the family's 1533-position model. The record is from RNAcentral.